UACAGAGGUCUCAAGCGUUGUUCGGAUUCAUUGGGCGUAAAGGGUGUGUAGGUGGCGCGCUAAGUCGGGUGUGAAAUUUCGGAGCUUAACUCCGAAACUGCAUUCGAUACUGGCGUGCUUGAGGACUGGAGAGGAGACUGGAAUUCAUGGUGUAACAGUGAAAUGCGUAGAGAUCAUGAGGAAGACCAGUGGCGAAGGCGGGUCUCUGGACAGUUCCUGACACUGAGACACGAAGGCCAGGGGAGCAAACGGG
RNAcentral lists this ribosomal RNA (253 nucleotides) under uncultured bacterium. Its description in RNAcentral is "partial 16S ribosomal RNA". It matches the Rfam family "Bacterial small subunit ribosomal RNA", at positions 524 to 776 of the family's 1533-position model. The record is from RNAcentral.